CAAAGGCAUGGUCCCGACCUUACUAUUAGCUUUAGCCCAACUUACACAUGCAAGUCUCCGCAACCCCGUGAGUAUGCCCCCAGUCCCCCAACCGGGGAAGGGGAGCGGGCAUCAGGCACAAAUCUUUAGCCCAAGACGCCCAGCCAAGCCACACCCCCAAGGGAAUUCAGCAGUGAUAAACAUUAAGCCAUAAGUGAAAACUUGACUCAGUUAAGGCAAAGAGGGCCGGUAAAACUCGUGCCAGCCACCGCGGUUAAACGAGAGGCCCCAGUUAAUAGUACUACGGCGUAAAGGGUGGUUAAAGAGAAUAAAACAAUAAAGCCAAAUGGCCCCUUGGCUGUCAUACGCUUCUAGGUGCCCGAAGCCCAAACACACGAAAGUAGCUUUAGUAAAACCUACCUGACCCCACGAAAGCUGAGAAACAAACUGGGAUUAGAUACCCCACUAUGCUCAGCCAUAAACCCAGACCCCCCCCCACAUUUAGGCGUCCGCCCGGGUACUACGAGCAUCAGCUUGAAACCCAAAGGACCUGACGGUGCCUUAGACCCCCCUAGAGGAGCCUGUUCUAAAACCCGAUAACCCCCGUUAAACCUCACCACUUCUAGCCUCCACAGCCUAUAUACCGCCGUCGCCAGCUUACCCUGUGAAGGUAAUAAAAGUAAGCAAAAUGGGCAAAACCCAGAACGUCAGGUCGAGGUGUAGCGCACGAAGCGGGAAGAAAUGGGCUACAUUUUCUAUCACAGAACACUACGAAUAUGCAACAUGAAAUAGUGCUUGAAGGAGGAUUUAGUAGUAAAAAGGAAGCAGAGUGUCCUUUUGAACCCGGCUCUAAGGCGCGUACACACCGCCCGUCACUCUCCCCUGUCUAAAAGCAUAAACAUAAUUAAUACUAAAGCACUGACAAGGGGAGGCAAGUCGUAACAUGGUAAGUGUACCGGAAGGUGCACUUGGAUUAAACU
RNAcentral lists this non-coding RNA (959 nucleotides) under Sarcocheilichthys caobangensis. RNAcentral's name for it is "12S ribosomal RNA". It matches the Rfam family "Bacterial small subunit ribosomal RNA". The record is from RNAcentral. Lineage: Eukaryota; Metazoa; Chordata; Actinopteri; Cypriniformes; Gobionidae.